This 479-nucleotide long non-coding RNA is filed under the name Salmo salar (Atlantic salmon). Its description in RNAcentral is "lncRNA (ENSSSAG00000098043.1, ENSSSAG00075027662.1)". The record is from RNAcentral. Lineage: Eukaryota; Metazoa; Chordata; Actinopteri; Salmoniformes; Salmonidae.
UGGCUGUUUAGUGGCUGUAUAGCGGUAGCUGUAAUGAGUGAUUACGAACGUGAGAUUGACGAAUAACGGUUGUAGAGUAAAUGCACUGCUGAAAGCUGCAGCUCCUGAUAACACGGUUGAUGGUAACGUGACGAUGACUUGAUUAAUUGGGUUGGUAGGAAAUAAAGGGCAAAGCAUGAGAAUUUGGCAGUACGUCCAACCUGCCUCACAACCGCAGACCACGUGUAACCACUCCAGCCCAGGACCUCCACAUCUGACUUCUUCACCUACGUGAGCAUCUGAGAUCAGCCACCCGGACAUCUGAUGAAACUGACAAUUAUUUCUGUCUGUAAUAAAGCCCUUUUGUGAGGAAAGCACUCAUUCUGAUUGUCAGGUCCUAACUCCCCAGUGGGUGGGCCUAUGCCCUCUCGGGCCUAUGCCCCCCCAUGCCCACCCAUGGCGGUGCCCCUGCCCAGUCAUGUGAAAUCCAUAGAUUAUGG